This 163-nucleotide ribosomal RNA is filed under the name uncultured bacterium. Its description in RNAcentral is "partial 16S ribosomal RNA". It matches the Rfam family "Bacterial small subunit ribosomal RNA", at positions 314 to 493 of the family's 1533-position model. The record is from RNAcentral.
UCUACGGGAGGCCUCAGUGGGGAAUCUCUACGGGAGGCAGCAGUGGGGAAUAUUGGGCAAUGGCCGAAAGNCUGACCCAGCAACGCCGCGUGGUGGAUGAAGCCCUUCGGGGUGUAAACACCUUUUCUGGGNGAAGAUAGGGACGNACCCCAGAAUAAGGACG